UACGUAGGGAGCAAGCGUUGUCCGGAAUCAUUGGGCGUAAAGCGCGCGUAGGUGGCCACAUAAGUCCGUUGUGAAAGUCAAAGGCUCAACCUUUGAAAGCCGAUGGAUACUGUGUGGCUAGAGUACGGAAGAGGCGAGUGGAAUUCCUGGUGUAGCGGUGGAAUGCGCAGAUAUCAGGAGGAACACCAAUAGCGAAGGCAGCUCGCUGGGACGUUACUGACACUGAGGCGCGAAAGCUAGGGGAGCGAACGGG
This 253-nucleotide ribosomal RNA is filed under the name uncultured bacterium. RNAcentral's name for it is "partial 16S ribosomal RNA". It matches the Rfam family "Bacterial small subunit ribosomal RNA", at positions 524 to 776 of the family's 1533-position model. The record is from RNAcentral.